CAGUCGCCGCGGUAAUACGUAGGUGGCAAGCGUUGUCCGGAAUUAUUGGGCGUAGAGGGCUCGCAGGCGGUUUCUUAAGUCUGAUGUGAAAGCCCCCGGCUCAACCGGGGAGGGUCAUUGGAAACUGGGAAACUUGAGUGCAGAAGAGGAGAGUGGAAUUCCACGUGUAGCGGUGAAAUGCGUAGAGAUGUGGAGGAACACCAGUGGCGAAGGCGACUCUCUGGUCUGUAACUGACGCUGAGGAGCGAAAGCGUGGGGAGCGAACAGGAUUAGAUACCCCUGUAGUCCCUGUCUCUUAUAC
Molecule: ribosomal RNA, 301 nt
Filed under: uncultured bacterium
Lineage: Bacteria
Description: partial 16S ribosomal RNA
Rfam family: Bacterial small subunit ribosomal RNA
Source: RNAcentral